RNAcentral lists this ribosomal RNA (253 nucleotides) under uncultured bacterium. RNAcentral describes it as "partial 16S ribosomal RNA". It matches the Rfam family "Bacterial small subunit ribosomal RNA", at positions 524 to 776 of the family's 1533-position model. The record is from RNAcentral.
UACAGAGGGUGCAAGCGUUAAUCGGAAUUACUGGGCGUAAAGCGUGCGCAGGCGGUGAUGUAAGACAGGUGUGAAAUCCCCGGGCUUAACCUGGGAACUGCAUUUGUGACUGCAUCGCUGGAGUGCGGCAGAGGGGGAUGGAAUUCCGCGUGUAGCAGUGAAAUGCGUAGAUAUGCGGAGGAACACCGAUGGCGAAGGCAAUCCCCUGGGCCUGCACUGACGCUCAUGCACGAAAGCGUGGGGAGCAAACAGG